AUGCCUUACAAAUUGCAACUUGAGGGGGAGCUAUAGACUGCACUCUUUUUCCCUUAGCUAAGGUUUUUUCCCACUGGGUUUUUCUUUAGCAAGGUUUUUAAUGAGGCAAUUUCUCUCUCUCACAAGUUUUACAUCUUGUUCAAAAGAAUCCCUAAAUCGUAGAAGCAAGAUUGGAUCUAGAAAUGAAUAGAUUUGGCGACGGCGGCUAGGGUUUCGCCGCUUGUAGGAAUCUGCCAACUGCAGCAGCUCUUAUGGAAAAACUAGAGAGUCAUUAGUGGCCAUUUGGGGUGGGUGAGUUUAGUCCAAAUAACAAGUGGUUCUCUGCAGAUCGAACGAUUAAGAUUUGGGAUACUGGAUCAGGACGGUUAAGGUUGACACUAUAGAACAAGUUAGAGGUCUCGCUGUUAGCAUCAGGCAUACCUACAUACAUGUUCUCUGCUGCUGGUGAUGACAAACAAAUUAAAUGCUUGCUGGGACCUAGAACAGAACAAGAUUUUAGCUAUUUGCUUUUAAUUGAUUUACUUUUGGGUCAAUAAUCAGAUCUGUCAACUGGCUAAGUCAAGCUCUAAAGCAAUUUUCCUCCAAGUGAACUAUGAAGAACUCAAACCCAAUCUCCAUAUUCAUCUUCUGUCUUUUCUCAGAUUCCACAAAGGCCAAGAUUUGCAGCUUUAGCUGCAUUGUUUCAAUUGAAGACUUCGUAUUGCUGCAAGUUCCCUUUUUAGGUUGGAUGGCAGCAGCAGCUUUAAACCGUCUUCC
RNAcentral lists this long non-coding RNA (756 nucleotides) under Helianthus annuus (common sunflower). Lineage: Eukaryota; Viridiplantae; Streptophyta; Magnoliopsida; Asterales; Asteraceae. The record is from RNAcentral.